CGAAGGGGGCUAGCGUUGUUCGGAUUUACUGGGCGUAAAGCGCACGUAGGCGGAUUGUUAAGUCAGGGGUGAAAUCCUGGAGCUCAACUCCAGAACUGCCUCUGAUACUGGCAAUCUCGAGUCCGGAAGAGGUGAGUGGAACUCCUAGUGUAGAGGUGGAAUUCGUAGAUAUUAGGAAGAACACCAGUGGCGAAGGCGGCUCACUGGUCCGGUACUGACGCUGAGGUGCGAAAGCGUGGGGAGCAAACAGG
This 251-nucleotide ribosomal RNA is filed under the name uncultured bacterium. Its description in RNAcentral is "partial 16S ribosomal RNA". It matches the Rfam family "Bacterial small subunit ribosomal RNA", at positions 526 to 776 of the family's 1533-position model. The record is from RNAcentral.